Non-coding RNA from Paramormyrops kingsleyae, 350 nucleotides. The record is from RefSeq and is a predicted model, not a curated record. NCBI's taxonomy places the organism in Eukaryota, Metazoa, Chordata, Actinopteri, Osteoglossiformes, Mormyridae.
GAGUCAUGACAAAACCCAUCGGCAGGGCACCUUUCCACCCCCGUAAAAGGCACAGGGCUCAGUUAUCAGUAAGGCGAGCCGACACUCCUGUCCGGGCCGCUCGUCACAGGCUGCUGUUUUUCGGGGAUCCGCUUCCCUGAGAUGCCAUGGGCCAGGAAAGGGAGGCGGUCCGAUGGCACCGGCAGCUGGCAGAGGGGAUGGAGGGCUUCUGUCGGACGUAUGACUCGAGGUAUGCUGAGGACCUACUGUAUUACACAGUCACGUGGCGGCCUUGUCGUCAGGGGAUUGGCUGUUGCUAAGAGACCAGAGAAGGAGCCGGACCAUUUCCAAUGAUGAAUUAACUCAAGAAG